RNAcentral lists this ribosomal RNA (368 nucleotides) under uncultured Desulfocapsa sp. RNAcentral's name for it is "bacterial SSU rRNA". It matches the Rfam family "Bacterial small subunit ribosomal RNA", at positions 1014 to 1382 of the family's 1533-position model. Lineage: Bacteria; Pseudomonadati; Thermodesulfobacteriota; Desulfobulbia; Desulfobulbales; Desulfocapsaceae. The record is from RNAcentral.
GCCUCGCAAGAGGAAUUCGGAGACAGGUGCUGCAUGGCUGUCGUCAGCUCGUGUCGUGAGAUGUUGGGUUAAGUCCCGCAACGAGCGCAACCCUUGUCUUUAGUUGCCAUCAUUAAGUUGGGCACUCUAAAGAGACUGCCGGUGUCAACCGGAGGAAGGUGGGGAUGACGUCAAGUCCUCAUGGCCUUUAUGACCAGGGCUACACACGUACUACAAUGGCAGGUACAAAGGGCAGCCACUUAGCGAUAAGGCGCGAAUCCCAUAAAACCUGUCUCAGCCCGGAUUGGAGUCUGCAACUCGACUCCAUGAAGUUGGAAUCGCUAGUAAUCGCAGAUCAGCACGCUGCGGUGAAUACGUUCCCGGGCCUU